This 71-nucleotide transfer RNA is filed under the name Callithamnion tetricum. Its description in RNAcentral is "tRNA-Cys". It matches the Rfam family "tRNA". Rfam says of the family: Transfer RNA (tRNA) molecules are approximately 80 nucleotides in length. Their secondary structure includes four short double-helical elements and three loops (D, anti-codon, and T loops). The record is from RNAcentral. Lineage: Eukaryota; Rhodophyta; Florideophyceae; Ceramiales; Callithamniaceae.
GGCGGUAUAGCCAAGUGGUAAGGCAGAGGAUUGCAAAUUCUUUAUCCCCAGUUCGAAUCUGGGUGCCGCCU